This 352-nucleotide transfer-messenger RNA is filed under the name Peptoniphilaceae. Its description in RNAcentral is "JAAYQA01 sp012519495 Standard tmRNA". It matches the Rfam family "transfer-messenger RNA". Rfam says of the family: Bacterial tmRNA, also known as 10Sa RNA or SsrA, is named for its dual tRNA and mRNA-like properties. Its role is to liberate the mRNA from a stalled ribosome. Lineage: Bacteria; Bacillati; Bacillota; Tissierellia; Tissierellales. RNAcentral also lists the same sequence under 3 other names. The record is from RNAcentral.
GGGGGCGAAUCUGGUUUCGACGGGGAUGUUGCAGCAGAAGUAGCGAGUCGUAGUCUCCAAACUACGUUAAAAGUGGAACCAAAAAUUAAACGCAGAAGAUAACAACUUCGCAUUCGCGGCGUAAUGCCGCUGUCUCCGCUUACUUUCCCGUAGGGUAAGCCGGGGCAUCAAACUGAUAUACGGGCAACUUGCCGGCGUCAAGCUUUGUACGCCCGCUCGUACUCGAUGAAGCUACGCGCACGCGAUUCUUUCCGUUGAAGCGCGUUCGCGGAAUCUAAAAAACGGAAUGCACUCGGAGAAGCUUCUAUGAAUGCAUUUUCGGACGCGGGUUCGACACCCGCCGCCUCCACCA